Molecule: ribosomal RNA, 253 nt
Filed under: uncultured bacterium
Lineage: Bacteria
Description: partial 16S ribosomal RNA
Rfam family: Bacterial small subunit ribosomal RNA
Source: RNAcentral
UACGGAGGGGACUAGCGUUGUUCGGAAUUACUGGGCGUAAAGCGCACGUAGGCGGAUUUGUAAGUCAGGGGUGAAAUCCCGGGGCUCAACCUCGGAACUGCCUUUGAUACUGCAAAUCUCGAGUCCGGAAGAGGUGAGUGGAAUUCCUAGUGUAGAGGUGAAAUUCGUAGAUAUUAGGAAGAACACCGGUGGCGAAGGCGGCUCAUUGGUCCGGUACUGACGCUGAGGUGCGAAAGCGUGGGGAGCAAACAGG